GGCUACACACGUGCUACAAUGGCGCGUACAGAGGGCUGCAAGCUAGCGAUAGUGAGCGAAUCCCAAAAAGCGCGUCGUAGUCCGGAUCGGAGUCUGCAACUCGACUCCGUGAAGUCGGAAUCGCUAGUAAUCGCAAAUCAGAAUGUUGCGGUGAAUACGUUCCCGGGCCUUGUACACACCGCCCGUCACACCAUGGGAGUGGGUUGCACCAGAAGUAGAUAGCUUAACCUUCGGGAGGGCGUUUACCACGGUGUGAUUCAUGACUGGGGUGAAGUCGUAACAAGGUAACCCUAGGGGAACCUGGGGUUGGAUCACCUCCUUACCUUAA
Molecule: ribosomal RNA, 328 nt
Filed under: Aeromonas veronii
Lineage: Bacteria; Pseudomonadati; Pseudomonadota; Gammaproteobacteria; Aeromonadales; Aeromonadaceae
Description: bacterial SSU rRNA
Rfam family: Bacterial small subunit ribosomal RNA
Source: RNAcentral